This 448-nucleotide long non-coding RNA is filed under the name Daucus carota (carrot). RNAcentral's name for it is "long non-coding RNA (DCAR_LNC007706)". The record is from RNAcentral. Lineage: Eukaryota; Viridiplantae; Streptophyta; Magnoliopsida; Apiales; Apiaceae.
AAAUAAUUUUAAUCUCUGUGGACGAAUCUUAAAUAUUAAAACGGUGAUCGUGCGCUUGCGAUUUAAAGGUAUUAUUUCUAGCACAUCAAGUUUUUGGCGCCGCUGCCGGGGAUUAAAAUUAAUUUUUCGCUCCUUUAUUUUUAAUCUUUCGGAUUAGCUUGUUUUCUCACUAUUUUUUGUUCUUUAUUUCGAGGAGGAAUAGUCGGGAUUCAUGGAGUAAAGUGAACAAAUUUUGCUCGGAUUUGGAAGCUUGCUUUGGUAUCUCGUAUCUCUCCACUUUUUUCGUCUUUAUUUAGAAAAUCACAAACAAAUUUGAAAAUUGAAAAACACAAACAAAUUAAAAAUUUAAAAUCCAAAAAUAUUAGUUAGAAUUACAUAUGUGUUGCAUCAUGCAUUUUUACACUUAGGGCACAUCAUUUAGAUUUUAAUUUUUGUUUUUAAAUUUUCG